This is a long non-coding RNA of Phyllostomus discolor (pale spear-nosed bat), 1318 nucleotides long. RefSeq lists it as uncharacterized. Lineage: Eukaryota; Metazoa; Chordata; Mammalia; Chiroptera; Phyllostomidae. The record is from RefSeq and is a predicted model, not a curated record. The transcript is spliced from 2 exons.
UAUGCAGCUCAGGAUUUUUGCUAAAAAGGAAAAAAGGGACUUGUGUCCAUGGGUCUAUAGAAAGUAUUUUGUUUUACAAGAAAAUCAAUGCAGCAUGUGUUUUCUUUAAUGGUAUAGCAUAAAGGGGAAAUAGAUGAUUUGAGAAAGGGGACAAUCGCAGGGUCAAAUUCAUCGAAUAGGUAACCUCCUUGAGAGGUGAGCCUCAGACAGGAGUCAGCACAGUGCACCCGCCAUGACCCAAAGGAAGGCAGAAUGGAUGGGCACUGAUGCAGGUAUGAUGGUACAUUUGGUAGUGGAAUGGGAGGAAAUUCCCUUUGAUUGCCUUGGUCAACAACCAGCUAAGACCAGAAAUGUCCAGCCUGUGUCACCAAAGCAGAGACUCAUGGGUGAGAUACAUGCUUAUCAUGUUAAGCAACUGACAGUGAAAUGAUGUGUUACUUGAUAUUAUGUAGCAAUAGAUAACUGAAGCAAGAAUUGUCCCAUAUCAGUAAAUAUAGAGCUGCCGCAUUUUAUAAAACAAUUACAGGCAGCAUUACACUGUGCAUGCCUUAUUUCAUUUAUUUUACCAUCUCCCUACUACUGUUUAUCUCAGUUGUUACUAUAAACAAUGCUGCAAGGAGUAUCUUCAUACAUAUAUCUUUGCACACACCUGAAUCUGUACAGAGAAUUCUUGGGUUGGGAUUUCUGUAUCAAAGUGUAUGCACAAUGAUAAUUCUAGAUAUUGGUAAAGUGAACUCUGUACAAAAUAUCAAUUUACAUGAUUGCCCAAAAGUUAUGAGUGCCUACUCCCAUGUAUCUUCAUGUUAUAACUUUUUUUCUUUUACCAACAUGGUAGGUUAAAAAAAAAAGUGAAUUACUGUAAAUGUCAUUUUCAUCCUUCUUACUGGGCAGUCCUAAAAUGACCCCACCAUCUCUACCAGUUUCCACUUACUCUGAACAUCACCUACUUCACAAUAAUCAGCCCUGCCUCCAGGGACACAGAGACAUCCUCGCCUUACACCAUCUUCCCAGUGGUUCUGUUUGGUCCACGUUCUCCUUUUGUUGGAUUGCAUUUGGAAUAAUAGCUCUCUCUGAAGUCAAUGGGUCUUUGGAAUAAAGAGUGUGGAUAACUGAAGAGAAUGGAUGGAGUCCCACUAAGGACAAAGUAGUGAUGCCUAAUGCAGCCUUUUAUCUUCUCCAUUAAAUGGUUAUGCAAAUAAGUGGCUCGAGUGAGACAACCUUCUUGAAACGGACAUGAUUUCCUGGAGGGCUGGAGAAAGCAUAAUGUCUUUAAGCUCUGAGUUGAACCCCUUAAAUAAAGCACUAAAUUGAAAAGAUA